UACGUAGGGUGCAAGCGUUGUCCGGAAUUAUUGGGCGUAAAGAGCUCGUAGGCGGUGUGUCGCGUCGGCCGUGAAAACCUGCAGCUCAACUGUGGGCUUGCGGUCGAUACGGGCAUCACUGGAGUUCGGCAGGGGAGACUGGAAUUCCUGGUGUAGCGGUGAAAUGCGCAGAUAUCAGGAGGAACACCGGUGGCGAAGGCGGGUCUCUGGGCCGAUACUGACGCUGAGGAGCGAAAGCGUGGGGAGCGAUCCGG
This 254-nucleotide ribosomal RNA is filed under the name uncultured bacterium. RNAcentral's name for it is "partial 16S ribosomal RNA". It matches the Rfam family "Bacterial small subunit ribosomal RNA", at positions 524 to 776 of the family's 1533-position model. The record is from RNAcentral.